This 655-nucleotide ribosomal RNA is filed under the name Debaryomyces sp. R140. Its description in RNAcentral is "eukaryotic LSU rRNA". The stretch from base 158 to 311 matches the Rfam family "5.8S ribosomal RNA". Lineage: Eukaryota; Fungi; Ascomycota; Pichiomycetes; Serinales; Debaryomycetaceae. The record is from RNAcentral.
CUUACACACAGUGUUUUUUGUUAUUACAAGAACUUUUGCUUUGGUCUGGACUAGAAAUAGUUUGGGCCAGAGGUUUACUGAACUAAACUUCAAUAUUUAUAUUGAAUUGUUAUUUAUUUAAUUGUCAAUUUGUUGAUUAAAUUCAAAAAAUCUUCAAAACUUUCAACAACGGAUCUCUUGGUUCUCGCAUCGAUGAAGAACGCAGCGAAAUGCGAUAAGUAAUAUGAAUUGCAGAUUUUCGUGAAUCAUCGAAUCUUUGAACGCACAUUGCGCCCUCUGGUAUUCCAGAGGGCAUGCCUGUUUGAGCGUCAUUUCUCUCUCAAACCUUCGGGUUUGGUAUUGAGUGAUACUCUUAGUCGAACUAGGCGUUUGCUUGAAAUGUAUUGGCAUGAGUGGUACUGGAUAGUGCUAUAUGACUUUCAAUGUAUUAGGUUUAUCCAACUCGUUGAAUAGUUUAAUGGUAUAUUUCUCGGUAUUCUAGGCUCGGCCUUACAAUAUAACAAACAAGUUUGACCUCAAAUCAGGUAGGAUUACCCGCUGAACUUAAGCAUAUCAAUAAGCGGAGGAAAAGAAACCAACAGGGAUUGCCUUAGUAACGGCGAGUGAAGCGGCAAAAGCUCAAAUUUGAAAUCUGGCACCUUCGGUGUCCGAGUUG